UCCUCAGAGAUAUUGGGGUGAAGGAAGC
RNAcentral lists this non-coding RNA (28 nucleotides) under Rattus norvegicus (Norway rat). The record is from RNAcentral. Lineage: Eukaryota; Metazoa; Chordata; Mammalia; Rodentia; Muridae.